This 1913-nucleotide long non-coding RNA is filed under the name Chinchilla lanigera (long-tailed chinchilla). RNAcentral describes it as "lncRNA (ENSCLAG00000027711.1)". The record is from RNAcentral. Lineage: Eukaryota; Metazoa; Chordata; Mammalia; Rodentia; Chinchillidae.
CCAGUGGCUAGCACACAGGUACUUCCUAAAUAUGUGGUAAGUGGACAAAUGAACUCCGGGCCCCUCAACUUGGCCAGACACAGCAGUGUCCUUCAGAAGGUCACCUCCUGGUGGGUAUGGGAGCAACCUCCUUCUCCCAGUGCCUCCAGGGAGAAGUAAAAGAAAAGACAGACUUCAGAAAAAUUCCACCUUCAAUGUAACAAAAGAGUUCAACAGAGUUGCUCUACAAAUACAAUUUGCAAGCGUCCUGUGACAAACGAAGAUGUUCUAUUUCAUUCCACACAUUCCCUGAGUCCCUGUGCAGAUAAUGCUAUUUGUCACACCCAUGCUGCCAGCUUCCCACGUGACCCCAGCAAAGGCGGGGAAGGAAGACCAGACUGGGGAAAGCAGCCUCCACAGCAAUGGGAUGUCUCCCCUGUGCUCCAGAUACACAUUUCAGAUCAAGAAACAGCAAAGAAGCCAGGCGUGGUGAUGUGCACCCACAGCUCCAGCUGCUCGGCAGGGCUGACAUGGGAGAAUCGUUUAAACUCAAGAGUUGAAGACCAGCCUGGGCCACACAGCAAAAUCCUCAUUGGAAAGAAGGGAGGAACGGGAAGGGGAGGGGAGAAAAGGGGAGGGGAGGGAAGAGGGCAGGACAGGACUGAAAUGAAUCAAAUCAGAUCAAAGCAAAACAGUGCUGCAACUAAUUUCAACUGGGGCAAGACCCAGAUACUGUAUUGGUGAAUUCAGAUCAAGAAUUCUACCCUAUGAGAGCAAUUUGGAGUCUGUCAAGAGACUGUUCUGCUCCAGUAUAGUUUGAGUCUCUGCAGCCUACCAGUUUGGAGUCCAACAUCUUCGUCUCUCUCUGUCCAUGACGCCCUGUACAGUUAUCUGUUCUCUGCAAUUGUAGGUCUGUACCAACACCAGCUACGCAGUGUGCAUUUCUGGACUAAUGCAUUAUAGCCACUCAUUAGCUUUAUUUAAAAAUACAUCUAUUUCCUGAAGACACCUGGGUACAUCCACAGAAAGUGACUAAUUGCCAGAACUGGAUGAAACCAAGCACCCAGGAUCAUCGGAGACGGUUUUGUGUGCAGACAAAGCACAGCUGGUGCCCUCUCAGAAGGUGAAUUGAGACUAAUUGGAUAAUCCAGAAACCAAUUAGACUGAAGUCGGCAGAGGAAGCUCUGUUCAGCUAAAAGAGAUGUUUGUUCUCUCCAACGGAGGAAGUAAGGGCUUUGUGUGCAUAAGUGCAAUGUAAGGAGCUGGAAUCAUACUGUAUAAAUGUUGAGAUUUAUUUUUCUUGCUGUGGUAUUAGAUAUUAGAGUGAAGAUACUGAACCUAGAAUUAGAUGGAGACCAGACUUUUCAGGAACAAGAGUCAUGUGUGUGGGUCAGGCUUCUCAUAGUGAAUACCACAGAAUAAUUUUUAUGUCAGGUGCGAUUCCACAUUCCACUGAAAGUCUUGAUGACUCUGCUGUUAAAAAGGCUCUCACAAGGGAAGAUAUCUCUUGCAUAGUUACCGCACUGGGAAGCCAAAAGCUGUGGCUAUGUCUUCUAAGGAUGUGAUUGUAUUAACGUGCAGCUGCUGCUAACUGCCUCGAUGUAUAUGAUGACUGAUCAAAUUAGGGACACCAGCUGGCACCUGGGGUGGAUGAAAUUAACAGGCCCUCGGGAUGGAGGGGGUGAAUUUGAACUUUGGCCUCAUUUCUAGAGUCCUAUAACCAAUCGGCCUCCACAGCUCUGGGCCAAGAUGUGGUAAGGUUUGCAUUUUAUAGCAUCUAAUGUUCAGUGCAGUAACUAGCAAAGAGACUACUGGUCAACCACAGGGUUCUCGUGUCGUUGUAUUUCCAAGUUGUGUUCCAGUGCCUGUACUGGUUGGUGCUCAGUACAUGGGCAAAUGUUACAUAUGACCAGUAGUGACAUAAAAAGAGUGAC